Molecule: ribosomal RNA, 2902 nt
Filed under: Escherichia coli O104:H4 str. 11-4522
Lineage: Bacteria; Pseudomonadati; Pseudomonadota; Gammaproteobacteria; Enterobacterales; Enterobacteriaceae
Description: bacterial LSU rRNA
Rfam family: Bacterial large subunit ribosomal RNA
Source: RNAcentral
UUAAGCGACUAAGCGUACACGGUGGAUGCCCUGGCAGUCAGAGGCGAUGAAGGACGUGCUAAUCUGCGAUAAGCGUCGGUAAGGUGAUAUGAACCGUUAUAACCGGCGAUUUCCGAAUGGGGAAACCCAGUGUGUUUCGACACACUAUCAUUAACUGAAUCCAUAGGUUAAUGAGGCGAACCGGGGGAACUGAAACAUCUAAGUACCCCGAGGAAAAGAAAUCAACCGAGAUUCCCCCAGUAGCGGCGAGCGAACGGGGAGCAGCCCAGAGCCUGAAUCAGUAUGUGUGUUAGUGGAAGCGUCUGGAAAGGCGCGCGAUACAGGGUGACAGCCCCGUACACAAAAAUGCACAUGCUGUGAGCUCGAUGAGUAGGGCGGGACACGUGGUAUCCUGUCUGAAUAUGGGGGGACCAUCCUCCAAGGCUAAAUACUCCUGACUGACCGAUAGUGAACCAGUACCGUGAGGGAAAGGCGAAAAGAACCCCGGCGAGGGGAGUGAAAAAGAACCUGAAACCGUGUACGUACAAGCAGUGGGAGCACGCUUAGGCGUGUGACUGCGUACCUUUUGUAUAAUGGGUCAGCGACUUAUAUUCUGUAGCAAGGUUAACCGAAUAGGGGAGCCGAAGGGAAACCGAGUCUUAACUGGGCGUUAAGUUGCAGGGUAUAGACCCGAAACCCGGUGAUCUAGCCAUGGGCAGGUUGAAGGUUGGGUAACACUAACUGGAGGACCGAACCGACUAAUGUUGAAAAAUUAGCGGAUGACUUGUGGCUGGGGGUGAAAGGCCAAUCAAACCGGGAGAUAGCUGGUUCUCCCCGAAAGCUAUUUAGGUAGCGCCUCGUGAAUUCAUCUCCGGGGGUAGAGCACUGUUUCGGCAAGGGGGUCAUCCCGACUUACCAACCCGAUGCAAACUGCGAAUACCGGAGAAUGUUAUCACGGGAGACACACGGCGGGUGCUAACGUCCGUCGUGAAGAGGGAAACAACCCAGACCGCCAGCUAAGGUCCCAAAGUCAUGGUUAAGUGGGAAACGAUGUGGGAAGGCCCAGACAGCCAGGAUGUUGGCUUAGAAGCAGCCAUCAUUUAAAGAAAGCGUAAUAGCUCACUGGUCGAGUCGGCCUGCGCGGAAGAUGUAACGGGGCUAAACCAUGCACCGAAGCUGCGGCAGCGACGCUGAUGCGUUGUUGGGUAGGGGAGCGUUCUGUAAGCCUGUGAAGGUGUGCUGUGAGGCAUGCUGGAGGUAUCAGAAGUGCGAAUGCUGACAUAAGUAACGAUAAAGCGGGUGAAAAGCCCGCUCGCCGGAAGACCAAGGGUUCCUGUCCAACGUUAAUCGGGGCAGGGUGAGUCGACCCCUAAGGCGAGGCCGAAAGGCGUAGUCGAUGGGAAACAGGUUAAUAUUCCUGUACUUGGUGUUACUGCGAAGGGGGGACGGAGAAGGCUAUGUUGGCCGGGCGACGGUUGUCCCGGUUUAAGCGUGUAGGCUGGUUUUCCAGGCAAAUCCGGAAAAUCAAGGCUGAGGCGUGAUGACGAGGCACUACGGUGCUGAAGCAACAAAUGCCCUGCUUCCAGGAAAAGCCUCUAAGCAUCAGGUAACAUCAAAUCGUACCCCAAACCGACACAGGUGGUCAGGUAGAGAAUACCAAGGCGCUUGAGAGAACUCGGGUGAAGGAACUAGGCAAAAUGGUGCCGUAACUUCGGGAGAAGGCACGCUGAUAUGUAGGUGAAGCGACUUGCGGAUGGAGCUGAAAUCAGUCGAAGAUACCAGCUGGCUGCAACUGUUUAUUAAAAACACAGCACUGUGCAAACACGAAAGUGGACGUAUACGGUGUGACGCCUGCCCGGUGCCGGAAGGUUAAUUGAUGGGGUUAGCGCAAGCGAAGCUCUUGAUCGAAGCCCCGGUAAACGGCGGCCGUAACUAUAACGGUCCUAAGGUAGCGAAAUUCCUUGUCGGGUAAGUUCCGACCUGCACGAAUGGCGUAAUGAUGGCCAGGCUGUCUCCACCCGAGACUCAGUGAAAUUGAACUCGCUGUGAAGAUGCAGUGUACCCGCGGCAAGACGGAAAGACCCCGUGAACCUUUACUAUAGCUUGACACUGAACAUUGAGCCUUGAUGUGUAGGAUAGGUGGGAGGCUUUGAAGUGUGGACGCCAGUCUGCAUGGAGCCGACCUUGAAAUACCACCCUUUAAUGUUUGAUGUUCUAACGUUGACCCGUAAUCCGGGUUGCGGACAGUGUCUGGUGGGUAGUUUGACUGGGGCGGUCUCCUCCUAAAGAGUAACGGAGGAGCACGAAGGUUGGCUAAUCCUGGUCGGACAUCAGGAGGUUAGUGCAAUGGCAUAAGCCAGCUUGACUGCGAGCGUGACGGCGCGAGCAGGUGCGAAAGCAGGUCAUAGUGAUCCGGUGGUUCUGAAUGGAAGGGCCAUCGCUCAACGGAUAAAAGGUACUCCGGGGAUAACAGGCUGAUACCGCCCAAGAGUUCAUAUCGACGGCGGUGUUUGGCACCUCGAUGUCGGCUCAUCACAUCCUGGGGCUGAAGUAGGUCCCAAGGGUAUGGCUGUUCGCCAUUUAAAGUGGUACGCGAGCUGGGUUUAGAACGUCGUGAGACAGUUCGGUCCCUAUCUGCCGUGGGCGCUGGAGAACUGAGGGGGGCUGCUCCUAGUACGAGAGGACCGGAGUGGACGCAUCACUGGUGUUCGGGUUGUCAUGCCAAUGGCACUGCCCGGUAGCUAAAUGCGGAAGAGAUAAGUGCUGAAAGCAUCUAAGCACGAAACUUGCCCCGAGAUGAGUUCUCCCUGACUCCUUGAGAGUCCUGAAGGAACGUUGAAGACGACGACGUUGAUAGGCCGGGUGUGUAAGCGCAGCGAUGCGUUGAGCUAACCGGUACUAAUGAACCGUGAGGCUUAACCUU